CCCAUACCCCAUACCCCAUAUCCCAUACCCUAUAUCCCAUACCCCACCCCCCACCCCCGCACCCCCCCGCGCCCCACCCGUGUAGGAUCGCGGCUCCCCUCUCCGGUUUCUCCCCUUUCUGAUUCAGCGCCGCACUUCGCAACUUCCGCCCGGCCGAUGGGGCCGCCCCGACCCCGCCCUAUAAACACCGACCCCGCCCUAUAAACACCGCCCCGGCCCCGUCAAUAGGGGCCCGGCCCUAUAAACACCGACCCGACCCUAUAAAUACGGAGCGAACCCCAUCGGGACAGAGCACUGCGGGGCCGCUCCAGUGCGACCCCAUCAAUCUGGACCGGACCCUACAAAUACGGAGCCGACCCUAUAAAUACGGACUGAGCCCUAUAGAUACGGACUGAACCCUAUAAAUACGGAGCAAACCCCAUCAGUACGGAGCGCUGCGGGGCUGCCCCGACGCGACCUGACCCUAUAAAUAUGGAGUGAACCCCAUCAAUCCAGACCCGACCCUACAAAUACGGAGCGAACCCCAUCAGGACAGAGCACUGCGGGGCCGCCCCGACGCGACCCGACCCUAUAAAUCCGGACCGGACCCUAUAAAUACGGACUGAACCCUAUGAAUCCGGACCCGACCCUAUAAAUACGGAGCCGACCCUAUAAAUACGGAGCAAACCCCAUUGGGACGGAGCGCUGCGGGGCCACCCCGACCCGACCCGACCCUAUAAAUCUGGACCGGACCCUAUAAAUACGGAGCCGACCCUAUAAAUACGGAGCGAACCCCAUUGGGACGGAGCGCUGCGGGGCCGCUCCGACCCGACCCUAUAAAUCUGGACCGGACCCUACAAAUACGGAGUCGACCCUAUAAAUACGGAGCGAACCCCAUUGGUACGGAGUGCUGCGGGGCUGUCCCGACCCGACCCAACCCUAUAAAUCCAGACCAGAACCUAUAAAUACAGACCCGACCCUAUAAAUACGGAGUGAACCUUAUAAAUACGGACCAGACCCCAUCAAUCCGGACCCGACCCUAUAAAUCCGGACCUGACCCUAUAAAUACAGAGCCGACCCUAUAAAUACGGAGCAGAUCCUAUAAAUACGGAGCAAACCCCAUCAGCACGGAGCGCUGCGGGGCGCUGAGCCGACCCUAUAAAUACAGACUGCUGAGGGGCUGCCCCGACCCCAUAAAUCCGGACCCGACCCCAUAAAUCCGGACCCGACCCCAUAAACCCAGAGCUCUGUCGGACCCGGGAACGGUGUGAUGGAGCGCCGCCCUUCGGGCUCCGUGGAGGAGCGCGGAGCACUGCUGGAUGUGGGGCCGCCCCACAGCGAUGGGGACAGCGACGGCUCCGAGUGGGAGUGGGAGUGGGAGGAGCACGAAGGUACGGCCCCCCCCGACCCCAAACCCGACCCCAAACCCGACCCUAAAUGUGAUCCUAAAUGUGAUCCUAAACCCGACCCCAAACCUGACCCUAAACCCGACCCUAAACGUGAUGUUAAACCCAACCCCAAACCCGACCCUAAAUGUGAUCCUAAAUGUGAUCCUAAACCCGACCUCAAACCCGACCCUAAAUGUGACCCUAGAUGUGACCCUAAACCCGACCCUAAAUGUGAUCCUAAACCCAACCCCAAAGCCGACCCUAAAUGUGACCCUAAAUGUGACCUUAAACCCGACCCCAAACCCAACCCUAAACGUGAUCCUAAACCUGACCCUAAACCUGAUCUUAAACCCGACCCUAAACCUGAUCCUAAACCCGAUCCUAAACCCGACCCUAAUCCUAAACCCGACCCUAAACCUGAUCCUAAUCCUAAACCUGUUCCUGAUCCUAAUCCCAACCCCAACCCAACCCUAAUCCUAAACCUGACCCUAAACCCGACCCUAAUCUUCAACCCGACCCUAAACCUGAUCCUAAUCUUCAACCCGACCCUAAACCUGAUCCUAAUCCUAAACCCGACCCUAAAAGUGAUCCUAAUCGUGGCCCUAAACCUCAACCUGACCCCAACCCGAACCCAAAUCCCAAUGACCCCACAAUGACCCCACAAUGACCCCAUAAUGACCCCGUAACCCCAUCGAUGGCCCCAAUAAUCCCAUAGCCCCAUUAAUAUCGCAUUAAUAACCCAUUAAUAACUCAUUAAUACCCAUUAAUUGGCAGCCCCGGACCAGCUGUACGCGCGCUGUUUGGCUCACACCCCAUUCAUUAUCUAAUUACUAUUAAUUAAUUACUAUUAAUUAAUUACUAUUAACCGCCCCGGACAGUCUCUAUGCACACUGCUUGGCUCACACCCCAUUAAUCACUGUUAAUUAAUUACUGUUAAUUACCGCUAAUUGCAGCCCCGGACCGUCUCUACGCGCACUGUUUGGCUCACAUGCCGUUAAUUACCGCUAAUUACUGCUAAUUACUGUUAAUUAACAGCCCGGGACCGUCUCUACGCGCACUGUUUGGUUCACAGCCCAAUACCCCAUUAAUUAAUUACUGUUAAUUGCCGUUAACUGCAGCCCCGUACCGUCUCUACGCGCACUGUUUGGCUCAGAUGCCGUUAAUUACUGUUAAUUAAUUACCGUUAAUUGCCGUUAAUUGCAGCCCCGGACCGUCUGUACGCGCACUGUUUGGCUCACACCCCAUUAAUUACUGUUAAUUAAUUACCGUUAAUUGCCGUUAAUUGCAGCCCCGGACCGGCUGUACGCGCACUGUUUGGCUCACAGCCCAAUACCCCAUUAAUUAAUUACUGUUAAUUGCCGUUAAUUGCAGCCCCGGACCGGCUGUACGCGCACUGUUUGGAUCACACCCCAUUAAUUACCGCUAAUUACCGUUAAUUGCCGUUAAUUGCAGCCCCGGACCGGCUGUACGCGCACUGUUUGGCUCACAUGCCGUUAAUUACUGUUAAUUACCGUUAAUUACCGUUAAUUGCAGCCCCGGUCCGGCUGUACGCGCACUGUUUGGCUCACAGCCCAAUACCCCAUUAAUUAAUUACCGUUAAUUACCGCUAAUUGCAGCCCCGGACCGUCUCUACGCGCACUGUUUGGCUCACAGCCCAAUACCCCAUUAAUUAAUUACCGUUAAUUACCGUUAAUUGCAGCCCCGGACCGUCUGUACGCGCACUGUUUGGCUCACACCCCAUUAAUUACCGCUAAUUACCGCUAAUUACCGUUAAUUAAUUGCAGCCCCGGACCGUCUCUACGCGCACUGUUUGGCUCACAGCCCAAUACCCCAUUAAUUACCGUUAAUUACCGUUAAUUACCGUUAAUUGCAGCCCCGGACCGUCUCUACGCGCACUGUUUGGCUCACAGCCCAAUACCCCAUUAAUUACUGUUAAUUAAUUACCGUUAAUUAAUUGCAGCCCCGGACCGUCUCUACGCGCACUGUUUGGCUCACACGCCGUUAAUCCGUUAAUUAAUUACUGUUAAUUACCGUUAAUUGCAGCCCCGGACCGUCUGUACGCGCACUGUUUGGCUCACAUGCCGUUAAUUACCGUUAAUUACUGUUAAUUGCCGUUAAUUGCAGCCCCGGACCGGCUGUACGCGCACUGUUUGGCGCGCACCGUUUGCGCGGCCGCCGCUCCGCUCACGGUGGGGAUUUUCGCUCCGUGCGCCCAUCGGCUGAGCGCCGUUCUGCGGCACCUCGAAGCCUCCCUGCUGUCGCACGCGGCCGCCCUGCAGCGCCGCUCCGCUCUGCGCGGCCGCCCCCCGCCCCGUCCGGCGCGCGGUUGGGCGCUGCUCCACGCCCUCCUCUUCCUGUCCUUCUGCCGCGCGGUCCACCGCCGC
Molecule: long non-coding RNA, 3751 nt
Filed under: Gallus gallus (chicken)
Lineage: Eukaryota; Metazoa; Chordata; Aves; Galliformes; Phasianidae
Description: lncRNA (ENSGALG00010010914.1)
Source: RNAcentral